Molecule: transfer RNA, 75 nt
Filed under: Brucella pseudogrignonensis
Lineage: Bacteria; Pseudomonadati; Pseudomonadota; Alphaproteobacteria; Hyphomicrobiales; Brucellaceae
Description: Ochrobactrum pseudogrignonense tRNA-Arg
Rfam family: tRNA
About the family: Transfer RNA (tRNA) molecules are approximately 80 nucleotides in length. Their secondary structure includes four short double-helical elements and three loops (D, anti-codon, and T loops).
Source: RNAcentral
GUACCUGAUAGAAAAUACCAUGUGACUGCCCUCCGAAGGCAGAGGUCACAGGUUCGAAUCCUGUCGGGUGCGCCA